RNAcentral lists this ribosomal RNA (966 nucleotides) under Triticum aestivum (bread wheat). Its description in RNAcentral is "partial small subunit ribosomal RNA". The record is from RNAcentral. Lineage: Eukaryota; Viridiplantae; Streptophyta; Magnoliopsida; Poales; Poaceae.
AUGCCGACGCCGACAACUCAACUAAGCGAAGAUGGUCGAUAUCCGCCGCACCCUCCGGAGAAGUACCACCGCACGCCUAUCACUCUGAAGUUUCGCGUACCAAGCAACACCUUCAGGAAGGAAUGCGACGACGAUGCCGCUGCUGCCCGGACCGGUCCUAGGGUUUCCCCCGGUACGUGGUUGGUAGAUAGGAAGGGGUAUCACCGACGCCCUCAAGAAGGUUCGGCAACGCCCAAGGGCGCAACCACGCCAGUGGCGGACGAGCCGCCAGGGAUUUCUCCCGCCCCGAAACCAACACCAACACAGACAAUCGAGAGUGCACCGCCCAACAUGCCGCCCACCAGCCUGUGCCACCACGGAUAUCGCACCAACUCCACCGUCUCACUGAUGCCACCAACACGAGGCCUCAAGGGAGGACGAGGGGACACCGGGCUCGGAGGAACCGCGACGCAACCGACAGGGGGGAUAGCCCCCACCGCGCCGCGGAGCCGACCAGACAUGCGACAAGGACUUACCAGGCCUCCACAGGCCCGGCCGAACCCCAACGGAUCCGGACAAUCCCUGCCGACACGCUGCAGUACGCCGGCUGCCGGAGCCAUUACCACCUGCAGCCACAAUCGUCUCACCACCACCACCAGGGAGCUGCGCCACCAAGCCCCGAACCGCCGGCUCGCCCAAGCCCAGAUGGGCCCAAAAGGGCCCAGAUCUGGGCCAAGCGGGCGCCGCCGGCCAGCAACACGCCACGCAGCCCCGCAGCCAACGGCCACGCCGUCGCAUCAAGGGCGCUCGAGGACUGCGGACCUCGCCGCCGAGUCACACCGCUACCCGCCGAGCAGCACCGCCGCCGGGAGGAGGGAGCCCCGACCCCACCUCCUAGCGAGCGGGGAAGGGACGUCCGCCACCGUCGGCGCCAUCCGAGCUACGCCGGUGGCCUCUGCCGGCGGCGGCGAAGGAAGAGAUGAGUAG